This 259-nucleotide long non-coding RNA is filed under the name Gossypium barbadense (sea-island cotton). Its description in RNAcentral is "long non-coding RNA (GBAR_LNC011170)". The record is from RNAcentral. Lineage: Eukaryota; Viridiplantae; Streptophyta; Magnoliopsida; Malvales; Malvaceae.
GGAGAGAAGGUAAGCUAUUGUUGUAAUUUUAAUGGACAAGCAAGCUACAUGGUAAUAAAUAUUCAAUAGUAAAUGAGCUCGAUAGAACUUUUUUCAAGUCUUUUUGAAUUUUUUAAGAUUCAUCAUACGUGGCGUUGUUACACCUAGGGAGGAUCCAUUAUAUCUUACAGCUCGAUAUAAGGCAACCCGUCAGGUUUCCAGCCUAUAUACUUUGAAUCUUUAAAAUAUUUAAAAAAAGGUUGGAGAGAAGGUCAGCUAU